GUAAGUGCUAGAGAUCGUCCCGGAUCAUGGCUUCCCUUCCUUAGGAGGAGCCAACUCCUGCUGGUUCUAGAACCGAAGGUGGGGAAACUGGGAUUGCCCAGUCUCCUUUGAGAACCAUUUUGCCGCACUGGGUCGUUGGCCCUUUCGUCCAACUCGGAAGGACUCCCUAGUGCCGCGCCGGGUUGUGGUUGCCUUCCGUUCCAAGAUAGCAUCUUCUGCCAACACAGUUUCUUGUGCGGUAACCAAAUCCUCUACAGUUGGUAAUGUCUCACCCGGCUCGUCGUCCAGCAUUGACGGCUCAAAGGGUUUCAAUUUUUCAAUGUUAACAACCGAGUACAUUUCCAUAUAUACUGGCAGCUCUAGUUGGUAGGCAU
RNAcentral lists this long non-coding RNA (374 nucleotides) under Phoenix dactylifera (date palm). RNAcentral's name for it is "long non-coding RNA (PDAC_LNC001332)". Lineage: Eukaryota; Viridiplantae; Streptophyta; Magnoliopsida; Arecales; Arecaceae. The record is from RNAcentral.